This 648-nucleotide long non-coding RNA is filed under the name Heterocephalus glaber (naked mole-rat). RNAcentral's name for it is "lncRNA (ENSHGLG00000050276.1)". Lineage: Eukaryota; Metazoa; Chordata; Mammalia; Rodentia; Bathyergidae. The record is from RNAcentral.
ACUACUGGUGACAUUUCAGCAUGCUAGCUUGCAUUAUUUGAACAUUCUGGAACUCAGAGAGGAUAAGCUGUCUCCUGUUGUCCAGCAUUUUGGGGUGAUUUUCACAAAUGCAGUCUGCUGGAUACAUUUACUUCUCCUUCUCAAGAGCUGUGAUGACUCAGAGGCGAGACAGAAACUGAAGUGUUUAUCUGCAAAAUACUUCUUGGUGAUGAUUAAAGCCAUUGUGAUGAAAAGAAAGUACAUUUAUGCACUUGUAAAUCCAGGCGCUGGCUGGGACCAGUAAGUACAGCUGACUAAAGAAUGUGCCAGAUUUAAUUUCAUCCUUUUAUUCUUUGUUAUAUGACAUUCACUAAUCCACUUAACCCACCUGUACACCACAUUCUUUACCAAUUUCCUUUGAUAUUCUGACUUUUAUGAAGAAAAAGAUGGUGUAAAGAAUAACAAUGAUCAAAGAUGGAAUGUGAUUUGAAAUUAAAAUAAAACACAAAGGAAUCUUAAAUAUCGUCCUCUCUUCUUUCAUGUACUUAUCUUUAACUACAUACCCCAUCUUUGUUUCUGGCUUCUGAGAUCAUUAUUCUUAUUCUUCCAUUAAUAAAAGCAAUAACUUAUUAUAGUAGUACUCAGCCUAAGGAACACAGGAAAAAGUAC